AAGGAGAAGAUGAUGGUGAGCGAGAUGAUCGGCAAGGUGACGAGCGAGUGCUGGGACAAGUGCAUCACAGGCGCUCCCGGGAGCAAGUUGAGCUCCGGCGAGACGAGCUGCCUGAGCAACUGCGCGCAGAGGUUCAUCGACAUGAGCGAGAUGAUCGCCAAACGUUUUGGCGCGCACUAGAACAGGGCCACCACAUGCAAGCGUGCAGUUGCUUCCUGGCCUUUUGAGUCAUGUGUCUUUCGACGUGAGCGGAUUUUGGUGUGGCGGUGAGAGAUGCAUAUCAGUGGGGUUUUAACUGAAUGAACACCGAAGUAUGCCUGUCGUUGUCGCCAUCCUUGUAAUUCUCGCACUCUGGGUUGAACUUUUGACCGUGCUUCCAGGGGCAAGCAAGAAGUUUGGCCUGUUUGAACGCCAAGGAUGGUGUGGUGUUUCCAUUUCGUUUUGGUCCUCUGGCUAUUUCGGUCCGUCUGCCCAACCUAUUUAUUUAUUCAGAGAAGAUUUGCUGGAGACCUGACCUGUUCAUCUGAUUUCUGGGCCAACAUUUGUUGUUGGU
RNAcentral lists this long non-coding RNA (553 nucleotides) under Triticum aestivum (bread wheat). RNAcentral's name for it is "long non-coding RNA (TAES_LNC005894)". Lineage: Eukaryota; Viridiplantae; Streptophyta; Magnoliopsida; Poales; Poaceae. The record is from RNAcentral.